AGUGAACGCUGGCGGUAGGCCUAACACAUGCAAGUCGAACGGCAGCACAGUAAGAGCUUGCUCUUACGGGUGGCGAGUGGCGGAGGGGUGAGGAAUACAUCGGAAUCUACUUUUUCGUGGGGGAUAACGUAGGGAAACUUACGCUAAUAACGCAUACGACCUACGGGUGAAAGCAGGGGAUCUUCGGACCUUGCGCGAUUGAAUGAGCCGAUGUCGGAUUAGCUAGUUGGCGGGGUAAAGGCCCACCAAGGCGACGAUCCGUAGCUGGUCUGAGAGGAUGAUCGGCCACACUGGAACUGAGACACGGUCCAGACUACUACGGGAGGCAGCAGUGGGGAAUAUUGGACAAUGGGCGCAAGCCUUAUCCAGCCAUACCGCGUGGGUGAAGAAGGCCUUCGGGUUGUAAAGCCCUUUUGUUGGGAAAGAAAAGCAGCAGGUUAAUACCCCGCUGUUCUGACGGUACCCAAAGAAUAAGCACCGGCUAACUUCGUG
Molecule: ribosomal RNA, 492 nt
Filed under: uncultured bacterium
Lineage: Bacteria
Description: partial 16S ribosomal RNA
Rfam family: Bacterial small subunit ribosomal RNA
Source: RNAcentral